RNAcentral lists this ribosomal RNA (501 nucleotides) under uncultured bacterium. RNAcentral's name for it is "bacterial SSU rRNA". It matches the Rfam family "Bacterial small subunit ribosomal RNA", at positions 1 to 525 of the family's 1533-position model. The record is from RNAcentral.
UAGAGUUUGAUCCUGGCUCAGGACGACCGUUAACGGCGCGCUUAAAACAUGCAAGUCGAACGAGAAGCCACAUCUUGCUCUGGUGGAAAGUGGCGAACGGGUGAGUAACACAUGAGAAACCUGCCUCAAAGUUUGGGAUAAGCCGAGGAAACUUGGUCUAAUACCGAAUAUAUUCUUUUUAUCGCAUGAUAGAAAGAACAAAGCUCCGGCGCUUUGAGAUGGUCUCGUGUCCUAUCAGCUUGUUGGUGAGGUAAAAGCUCACCAAGGCAUCGACGGGUAGCUGGUCUGAGAGGAUGUCCAGCCACACUGGGACUGAGAUACGGCCCAGACUCCUACGGGAGGCAGCAGUUAGGAAUCUUGCACAAUGGACGAAAGUCUGAUGCAGCGACGCCGCGUGCGGGAUGAAGGCCCUAGGGUUGUAAACCGCUUUCAGUAGGGACGAAAGUGACGGUACCUACAGAAGAAGCUCCGGCCAACUACGUGCCAGCAGCCGCGGUAAUA